Long non-coding RNA from Medicago truncatula (barrel medic), 754 nucleotides. RefSeq lists it as uncharacterized. The transcript is spliced from 2 exons. The record is from RefSeq and is a predicted model, not a curated record. NCBI's taxonomy places the organism in Eukaryota, Viridiplantae, Streptophyta, Magnoliopsida, Fabales, Fabaceae.
CAGAAACAAGUUCGGUCUUAUCCUUUGGAUGGAUGGAUUUAUUUGCUUUAAUGGUUUUUUUAUAGCCGUCAAAUCAAUGACACAGUUUUGAUUUGACCGUGAUGGCCCAAACCAAAUACCUAGCUAGUGGAUUUGUAUGUGGAUAAUAAUAUUUUAAAACACCACACGUUUGGCUUGAUUUCCGUUAUGUAUGAAACAUAACGAAUUUUAUCCCGAGUGGAAGGAAAAAAAUAAAGUGAUGAUAUAUUAUGGAGAAGCUAAUUCUCUUUUCUGCUUUUGCCGCAUGGGGUAUUUCUGAAACUACAAGGCGUACGCAAAAGAUAUGUUGUAUAAGGAAGGGAAGGCAAGCAAAUCCAUGCAUGUUUCAUUCCAAAUUGCUAAAGCAACUACAGUCUAUAAAUAGACGGACCAUCUGAAACACACAAAGGCCAAAACAUUCCUUUGGCUACAACAGAGGAAGCAAGUUUUCUCCACCAUCCAAUGUAGGCCCCACAAGCUUUCUGUGCAUGCCUCUUGCUGUAUGUUAUAUUGUUAUGUACUCUCCUUUUAGUAUAUAUAGCUUGUUGAAUGAUAAUUUGAUCCCAAUAUGAAUUUUCCCCCUAAAUAAAACAAGAAGAAAAAAGAUGAAACAAAUUUCUAAGGGAGGCAAUAUUAUUAAAUUUAAGUUUAGGAAGAACUCAUUAUUGACAUGUAUUUUGGUAAAGCCUCUUUUUUAAAAUAAAAAUAAUAAAUAUAUAUCCCAUUUCCCUUUUUA